AGUUACAAGAAGGGAAAAGUGCGUGGCUUGAGAGGAAGGCAAGAUUCCUCCCUAAACAGGAUUCUUUGGCCCUUUGGCCCAAUAUUUCACUUACUUGGAACUGUGGGGAGAGUAUAAAAGGAGCCACAGGAAACAAAUAUUAAAUUCUCAGACCACACAUGGAAUCUUAUUCAGUCAGGCCUGACAAGCUGCUGACCUAGAAGCAUCCAAUCUCUACACUAGAGCACAGGGAAGAGAUGUUCCCUUCACAGGCUGUCGCCCAGGGGAGAUACUCGUUGUUUCAACGCACGGCCAUUUUUGGAGACACACACUGGUCCAUCGCCACAGAAGCAUGACUAUCCGUCUAAAUAUAGAUGUGCCUGUCGCCUCAGAGAAAGAACAGACAAGAAGUCAUGACUCCACUUACUCUAAGGAAAUUUUAAGGUGAUAAAAUUGAAAAAUCAAUGGAUGUUACAUUUCUUAAGUCCAUAAAUCUGCUCUAAGAUCAAGUUAUGAUUAUCUCACCUGUGUUUCACUUCUCUGGAUCUUAACUGCUAAUGUAGCCCCCAGCCCCUUCUAAAGUAGCCCCAUCCCUAUCUCAAGAUAUUUCUGUCCUCAAAGGAUAUCUCAAAGGUGCUGAAGAUCAAAUACAACUGGCUACCUAGCAAGGCAUUCUGCAAGGACCCCCCACUUUAUCCCGUUCUUUCUCCUGUGGCCCUCACUUGCUGUGAUCACCUAAAAGGCUAUAUAAUGUAAAAAGCACAGACUCUGUAACCUGCCAGUUUAGGUUCGAAUCCCAGCUUUUCCACAUAUGGGCUCUGUAACCUUGGGCAAGCUAUUUAGCCUCUCUGUGCCUCAAUUUCUGCUUUUAUUUUUUCUAUAUAACAUUAUCUAACCUCAUCAUGGGGGUAGUUAUGAUGAUUAAAUGAGUUAAUAUUUAUAGAGCAGUUAGAAUAAUGACUGGUACCUAGCAAUCACUCAAUAAAUAGAUUCCCAUAAUCACUAUUGCUGCUGGCCCUGGCGGUGGCUUUGGUAAGUCCUGCAAUAAGGUGUCAAAACUAUAAGAGUUCUGUACAAAGUAAAGGACAAUGUCUUCCCUCCUUCUGUGAUACGAUAUCAAAGGGUAACAAAGCAGUAAAGCUUAUAUCCAGUGUUUUCUGAAAUUACUGCUCAAGUAGUUCUUUACAUUUCUACUCAAAGCCCCCUCCCCACACUUCUUAUAAGAUCAGCCUCCAAGGACUGCAAUGAGACAUGAGUCCAUAGAUACC
Ictidomys tridecemlineatus (thirteen-lined ground squirrel) is the source of this 1247-nucleotide long non-coding RNA. RefSeq lists it as uncharacterized. Lineage: Eukaryota; Metazoa; Chordata; Mammalia; Rodentia; Sciuridae. The record is from RefSeq and is a predicted model, not a curated record.